AGAGUUUGAUCCUGGCUCAGGAUGAACGCUAGCGACAGGCUUAACACAUGCAAGUCGAGGGGCAGCACGAUGUAGCAAUACAUUGGUGGCGACCGGCGCACGGGUGAGUAACGCGUAUGCAACCUACCUAUCAGAGGGGAAUAACCCGGCGAAAGUCGGACUAAUACCGCAUAAAACAGGGGUUCCACAUGGAAAUAUUUGUUAAAGAAUUAUCGCUGAUAGAUGGGCAUGCGUUCCAUUAGAUAGUUGGUGAGGUAACGGCUCACCAAGUCCACGAUGGAUAGGGGUUCUGAGAGGAAGGUCCCCCACACUGGUACUGAGACACGGACCAGACUCCUACGGGAGGCAGCAGUGAGGAAUAUUGGUCAAUGGGCGAGAGCCUGAACCAGCCAAGUCGCGUGAAGGAUGAAGGAUCUAUGGUUUGUAAACUUCUUUUAUGCGGGGAUAAAGUGAGGGACGUGUCCCUCUUUGCAGGUACCGCAUGAAUAAGGACCGGCUAAUUCCGUGCCAGCAGCCGCGGUAAUACGGAAGGUCCGGGCGUUAUCCGGAUUCAUUGGGUUUAAAGGGAGCGUAGGCCGGCCUUUAAGCGUGCCGUGAAAUGUCCCGGCUCAACCGGGGCACUGCGGCGCGAACUGGGGGCCUUGAGUGCGCGGAACGUAUGCGGAAUUCGUGGUGUAGCGGUGAAAUGCUUAGAUAUCACGAAGAACCCCGAUUGCGAAGGCAGCAUACGGCAGCGCUACUGACGCUGAAGCUCGAAGGCGCGGGUAUCGAACAGGAUUAGAUACCCUGGUAGUCCGCGCGGUAAACGAUGGAUGCCCGCUGUCGGCGACACACUGUCGGCGGCCAAGCGAAAGCGUUAAGCAUCCCACCUGGGGAGUACGCCGGCAACGGUGAAACUCAAAGGAAUUGACGGGGGCCCGCACAAGCGGAGGAACAUGUGGUUUAAUUCGAUGAUACGCGAGGAACCUUACCCGGGCUUGAACUGCAGAGGAAAGAUCCAGAGAUGGUGAUGCCCUUCGGGGCCUCUGUGGAGGUGCUGCAUGGUUGUCGUCAGCUCGUGCCGUGAGGUGUCGGCUUAAGUGCCAUAACGAGCGCAACCCCUGCCGUCAGUUGCCAUCGGGUUAAGCCGGGCACUCUGUCGGGACUGCCUCCGUAAGGAGUGAGGAGGGUGGGGAUGACGUCAAAUCAGCACGGCCCUUACGUCCGGGGCUACACACGUGUUACAAUGGGGGGUACAGAGCGCCGGCGUCCCGCAAGGUACGUCCAAUCGUGAAAGCCCUCCCCAGUUCGGACUGGGGUCUGCAACCCGACCCCACGAAGCUGGAUUCGCUAGUAAUCGCGCAUCAGCCAUGGCGCGGUGAAUACGUUCCCGGGCCUUGCACACACCGCCCGUCAAG
Molecule: ribosomal RNA, 1397 nt
Filed under: uncultured bacterium
Lineage: Bacteria
Description: bacterial SSU rRNA
Rfam family: Bacterial small subunit ribosomal RNA
Source: RNAcentral